This 717-nucleotide ribosomal RNA is filed under the name archaeon enrichment culture clone R3-1a11. Its description in RNAcentral is "bacterial SSU rRNA". It matches the Rfam family "Archaeal small subunit ribosomal RNA", at positions 63 to 783 of the family's 1478-position model. The record is from RNAcentral.
UGUUCUUCGUGACAUAGCGAACUGCUCAGUAACACGUGGAUAACCUACCCUUAGGACCGGAAUAACCCCGGGAAACUGGGGAUAAUACCGGAUAAGCCAUUGACGCUGGAAUGCCCUAUGGUUCAAAGCUCCGGCGCCUAAGGAUGGAUCUGCGGUCUAUCAGGUUGUAGUGGGUGUAACGUACCUACUAGCCGACGACGGAUACGGGUUGUGAGAGCAAGAGCCCGGAGAUGGAUUCUGAGACACGAAUCCAGGCCCUACGGGGUGCAGCAGGCGCGAACACUUUACAAUGCGGGAAACCGCGAUAAGGGAACCCCGAGUGCCAGCACCAAGUGUUGGCUGUCCGGAUGAUUAAAAAUCAUUUGUUAGCAAGGGCCGGGCAAGACCGGUGCCAGCCGCCGCGGUAACACCGGCGGCCCGAGUGGUAGCCGUUUUUAUUGGGUCUAAAGGGUCCGUAGCCGGCCUGAUAAGUCCUUUGGGAAAUCUGGCAGCUUAACUGUCAGGCUUCUAAGGGAUACUGUCAGGCUUGGGACCGGAAGAGGUAAGGGGUACUCCAGGGGUAGGAGUGAAAUCUUGUAAUCCCUGGGGGACCAUCUGUGGCGAAGGCGCCUUACCAGAACGGGUCCGACGGUGAGGGACGAAAGCUAGGGGAGCAAACCGGAUUAGAUACCCGGGUAGUCCUAGCUGUAAACGAUGCUCGCUAGGUGUCAGACACGG